UAACGCGUGAGUAACCUGCCUUACACAAGGGGAUAGCCGUUGGAAACGACGAAUAAUACCCUAUGACAUAAACUCUUCGCAUGAAGAGCUUAUCAAAGAUUUAUCGGUGUAAGAUGGACUCGCGUCUGAUUAGCUAGUUGGCAGGGCAGCGGCCUACCAAGGCGACGAUCCAUAGCCGGCCUGAGAGGGUGAACGGCCACAUUGGGACUGAGACACGGCCCAG
This 223-nucleotide ribosomal RNA is filed under the name uncultured bacterium. RNAcentral's name for it is "partial 16S ribosomal RNA". It matches the Rfam family "Bacterial small subunit ribosomal RNA", at positions 111 to 334 of the family's 1533-position model. The record is from RNAcentral.